UGGGGGGUAGAGCACUGCAUGGAUGAUGGGGGCCCACAGCCUUACUGAGUCUAAGCAAACUCCGAAUACCCAGGAGGACUAUCCGGGAGACACACGGCGGGUGCUAACGUCCGUCGUGGAGAGGGAAACAACCCUGACCAACAGCUAAGGCCCCCAAUUCGUGGCUAAGUGGGAAAGCAUGUGAGACUUCCAAAACAACCAGGAGGUUGGCUUAGAAGCAGCCAUCCUUUAAAGAUAGCGUAACAGCUCACUGGUCUAAUCAAGAGGUCUUGCGGCGAAGAUGUAACGGGGCUCAAGCCACGAGCCGAAGCUUUGGAUGCGCAUUUAUGCACGUGGUAGCGGAGCGUUCUGUGAUAUAGAACGCUGCCUCUUUUGCCUGUUCGCAAGUAACGGAGGCAAUGUUCUGACUGUGAAGCCGGGCCGUGAGGCAACCGGUGGAGUGAUCAGAAGUGAGAAUGUUGACAUGAGUAGCGACAAACAGGGUGAGAGACCCUGUCGCCGAAAGUCCAAGGGUUCCUGCUUAAAGCUAAUCUGAGCAGGGUAAGCCGGCCCCUAAGGCGAGGCCGAAAGGCGUAGUCGAUGGGAACCAGGUUAAUAUUCCUGGGCCAGGAGAUGGUGACGGAUCCCGAGGGUAGUUCGAUCUUAACGGAUUGAUCGGGCUGCUUAGGGGUCCCUGGAAAUAGCCCUCCACAAGACCGUACCCUAAACCGACACAGGUGGACUGGUAGAGAAUACCAAGGCGCUUGAGAGAACCACAUUUAAGGAACUCGGCAAAAUACCUCCGUAAGUUCGCGAGAAGGAGGCCCGGUUUUUGCGCAAGCAGAGGCCGGGGGCACAAACCAGGGGGUGGCGACUGUUUACUAAAAACACAGGGCUCUGCGAAGUCGUAAGACGACGUAUAGGGUCUGACGCCUGCCCGGUGCCGGAAGGUUAAAAGGAGAGGUGCAAGCCUUGAAUUGAAGCCCCGGUAAACGGCGGCCGUAACUAUAACGGUCCUAAGGUAGCGAAAUUCCUUGUCGGGUAAGUUCCGACCUGCACGAAUGGCGUAACGACUUCCCCGCUGUCUCAAAUGUGGACUCAGCGAAAUUGAAUUGUCUGUGAAGAUGCAGACUUCCCGCGGUUAGACGGAAAGACCCCAUGCACCUUUACUACAACUUCGCACUGGCAUCAGGAUUGCGAUGUGCAGGAUAGGCGGUAGGCUUUGAAGCGGGGACGCUAGUCCUCGUGGAGCCAUCCUUGAGAUACCGCCCUUCGCACUCUUGAUGUCUAACCGCGGCCCGUUAUCCGGGUCCGGGACCCUGCGUGGUGGGUAGUUUGACUGGGGCGGUCGCCUCCCAAACAGUAACGGAGGCGCGCGAAGGUUGGCUCAGACCGGUCGGAAAUCGGUCGUUGAGUGCAAUGGCAGAAGCCAGCCUGACUGCAAGACUGACAAGUCGAGCAGAGACGAAAGUCGGCCAUAGUGAUCCGGUGGUCCCGAGUGGAAGGGCCAUCGCUCAACGGAUAAAAGGUACGCUGGGGAUAACAGGCUGAUGAUGCCCAAGAGUCCAUAUCGACGGCAUCGUUUGGCACCUCGAUGUCGGCUCAUCUCAUCCUGGGGCUGGAGCAGGUCCCAAGGGUAUGGCUGUUCGCCAUUUAAAGAGGUACGUGAGCUGGGUU
This 1656-nucleotide ribosomal RNA is filed under the name bioreactor metagenome. RNAcentral describes it as "bacterial LSU rRNA". It matches the Rfam family "Bacterial large subunit ribosomal RNA", at positions 896 to 2611 of the family's 2925-position model. The record is from RNAcentral.